Molecule: transfer RNA, 83 nt
Filed under: Bacillota bacterium
Lineage: Bacteria; Bacillati; Bacillota
Description: tRNA-Leu
Rfam family: tRNA
About the family: Transfer RNA (tRNA) molecules are approximately 80 nucleotides in length.
Source: RNAcentral
GCGAGAGUGGCGGAAUUGGCAGACGCGAUAGACUUAGGAUCUAUUGGGUAACCGUGGGGGUUCGAGUCCCCCCUUUCGCACCA